CAGAGAUCCAGCAAUAUUAGACAGAAAUCCAAGAACAGCAACAAGCAUGUGAUUCUGCCUCCAAGAGCAGCAUCCACAAUUCCUUAUCUCCUGCAGGAUGCUGUUUUGUUCUUUUCCCAGGGACAUUAAGCGUAAGUGUAAAAGCUGUGGUUCUCUGUGAAAAUGACCACAGAUGAUUUUCCUUGCAAUUUGUAUAGGCCACAUUUUCCUGACCAGCUAGGGAGGACACUGCACAUUUGAUGGUGAUGACGUUUGGCCUUUUUGUUUUAUGUGCCAUGGUGCAUUCUCUCUGGUAGCCUCAGAAGUUACAAGAGCUUACCUCACUCUUCAGGAACAAACUACAGCAAUGAUUCAUCUCCCCAUAUUUCCCAGCCUCCUGAUCCACUGCUAAGUGAAGAUAGGGAGGAGCCAUCACAUCACGUUGAUAGAAUAGACGCAGAGGGGACUUGGUGA
Molecule: long non-coding RNA, 453 nt
Organism: Cercocebus atys (sooty mangabey)
Lineage: Eukaryota; Metazoa; Chordata; Mammalia; Primates; Cercopithecidae
Exons: 3
Source: RefSeq, a predicted model, not a curated record